CAGUAGCCACGGUAAUACGAAGGGUGCAAGCGCUACUCGGAAUUACUGGGCGUAAAGCGUGCGUAGGUGGUGGUUUAAGUCCGUUGUGAAAGCCCUGGGCUCAACCUGGGAAUUGCAGUGGAUACUGGGUCACUAGAGUGUGGUAGAGGAUAGUGGAAUUUCCGGUGUAGCAGUGAAAUGCGUAGAGAUCGGAAGGAACAUCUGUGGCGAAGGCGACUAUCUGGGCCAACACUGACACUGAGGCACGAAAGCGUGGGGAGCAAACAGGAUUAGAUACCCCUGUAGUCCCUGUCUCUUAUAC
RNAcentral lists this ribosomal RNA (301 nucleotides) under uncultured bacterium. RNAcentral's name for it is "partial 16S ribosomal RNA". It matches the Rfam family "Bacterial small subunit ribosomal RNA", at positions 509 to 807 of the family's 1533-position model. The record is from RNAcentral.